CCGGGCUCUUAACGCGGCGUUAACCUUUCCGUUCUACAAAGAGGCACAUCCAGAUUGUCUGGAUCCUGAUUGGGAUCUCUUUCCAGUCUGCUUGAUGCCUCCCUGUAAGACUCACGAAAGCCGCUCCUCCUGGGGCGGCUUCUUUUUU
This is a small RNA of 148 nucleotides. It matches the Rfam family "Alphaproteobacterial sRNA BjrC1505". The record is from Rfam.